UUCAGAGAGGAGUUGAAGCCUCCGAGGCGGGGGAAGGGCUGCCCCAGCAGGUCCUGCUGGGUUGCAAAGGCACACAGCUCUGCAGGAAGAUCAGGUGCCCUCCAGCACUCCGUGCUCGCUGGUUUUCUUGUUUGCAUGGUGCCCAGUUGUGCUGAUGGUGUGAGAUCACACCUCCUCUGAGCGUGGGGAACUUGUGGAGCCCUCUUAAAUGAUAAAGUGCCAGGGCCUCACCUGCAGCCUAUGAAGCUCUCCAGGCUAGGGGUUGAAUCAGAGCUACAGCUGCCUACCUGUGCCACAGCCACAGCGAUGCCAGAUCUGAGCCGGGUCUGCAACCUACACCACAGCUCACGGCAACACUGGAUCCUUCACCCAUCAAGCAAGGCCAGGGAUCGAACCUGUGUCCUCAUGGAUACUGGUCAGGUUUGUUUCUGCUGAGCCACAACGGGAAGCCCAGCAAAGGUCGCAUCUAACGUAGAUAAGGAGAACAGUCUUAAGAUUCAGAGAGCGUGCCAGACAAGGGUACUGAAGUUUAUAGAGCAAAUAUGCUCCGGGUUGUUGUUUCUGAACAUUGUAUAUGGCUGGAAAAUCAGGCUCACACAAAAUCAGAGUCAUGCCAUAAACCCAACUGGACUGCAUGCAGCCACCUGUUGCCACGGCUUCUACAGGACACAUUUCCUCAAGAGCAAGAGGGAGCCUUGUCCUCAGGCAGCACUGCAGCAUGAUCCACUCUGGAUGGAAUUCCGAUGCUGAUUUUCUCCAAUUGUCUGGAGAUUAGACAGUUCAGAGAUAGGACUCUCAGGGUGAAUCCAUACGUGCUGAUAAUUACAAACAUGAAAAAAUGUAGCUCUCAAGUCACGCCACUAGGAGCGCGGGGUGGCAAAGAUUUGGCCCUUCUCUUUCUCAGCGGAAUCUUUAGUUACCAUAGAGCAAGGACUCUGGUGCAUCCAGAAUGACUAAAGGAAUGAAGCAGAAAUCAGCUUACAAAUUAUUUCUAAAAUUCGGUAGUUUCAUCGAGUAUGAUUUCUUACUGAUUGCUAACCAUUCAUAAGUUUGCAAAUGUUGACAAAAACUAAUUUACAAAUAAUGCACCAAUCCUAAACCUUAUUUUAGAUUAAAGCAGUUUUUCAAUUCGAGAUGCCAGGGCAUUGUUCGCAUUUUCCUUGCAGAGACGUCUUAGUUUUCAUCAACAUUAUUUUUUCCUUAGCCUGUUCUAUUCAGGGAAUGAUAAGUUAGCUUUUAUUACAUUUCUGUCCUUUGCUGGGAUUGGACAUAAAACCGGGCUGCUUUGGGUCCUCUGAGAAGCAGACACUGGGGAAACAGUCAGACAUGCGGGAUUUAUGGGGGAUUCGACCCCCAGCCUGGGAACCUCCAUAUGCCGCGGGAGCGACCCCCAAAAUGGCAGAAAGACCAAAAAAAAAAAGAAGAAGGUGAAGGAGGUUUCCUAGACACAAGUCCAAGAAGGGCUUGGCUGGGGAAUGGGUGUGAGCAGUUUCUGGUUCUGCAGAAGGAGCGGGCACUGAUGCCCACCAGGCCCAGGCCCUGCAAGAGCCUCUGGGGCAGGUGUGGCUCCCGAGGCCAGCAGCUGGACCUGCCCGCCAGACGGCUCCCUGCAGCUGCAGGGCAGAGCAGCGCAUCUCCCGGAGGCCACACCCACCUCCUCCAAGACCUGCUCUCUGAUUUCCAGACGCUUCCAGCCUGGCUGGGAGGCAGAGUGGGCACUUCCCCUGGGCCCAUGGCCAGGGUGCCUGUGGCGGCAGGUGGGAAACAGACGUGGCCUUUGGAGCGAAUACUUGACCAAUAAAGAGACGGACGUGGUACCCGGCCCCUGAUGAUUAUCCGCAGCAGAACCGCGUUUCCCUGCGGUGCAGCACAGGCUCGUAUGGGGCCUGUGGAGCCCAGCGCCGAGGCAGCAGUGGGGAAAAGAGUGAACGAGACAGGCGCAGGGCCACCGUCACCACCCUUCCCAGUCACAAGCUCAAGUGACUUUGUUUCGUUUUGUUUUUGUCUUUUUGCCUUUUCGAGGGCUGCUCCCAGGGCGUAUGGAGGUUCCCAGGCGAGGGGUCUAAUUGGAGCUAUAGCCACAGGCCCACACCACAGCCACAGCAAUGUGGGAUCCAAGCUGCAUCUGCGACCUACACCACGGCUCACGGCAACACGGAUCCUUGACCCACUGGGCAAGGGCAGGGAUCGAGCCCACAACCUCAUGGUUCCUAGUGGGAUUCGUUAACCACUGCGCCACGACAGGAACUCCAGGCUUAAGUGACUUUGGAUCGCUCCACUCUCAGCCCCUCUCAGAUGGACGGGGGCUCUUGGAAGACACAAGCGAUGGUGUCGUUUCUCUGAAUUCCCCGUGUGCAGCACCGAGCCGGCCCCUAGGUUCCUUGAGGAUGAGCGGAGUGUUGAGACAUUGACUAUGUCGCCAUCACCGUUAUCGCCCCUGCAGUGUCCCAAACGGGUGUGCAUCCUGUAUCCUCCUCCUUGGGAAUCCCUUCGAGGGCAGAGAGACUCAUCCUCCGUGUGCCAGGGCCACUCACACCCAGCGCAGCUUUCCGGUCCCCUCCUGGCCUCUCCCGGCCUUGCGGACUCGGCCCUUUUCCAUUAUUCCUGCCAUUUGUCUCCAGCCUUCUUCCGGUAGGAAGGCUGUUUCUCCCCCCAGGAAAGAGCUGGACAUCAGACGGAGGUGGACACGCCUGCAGGUCCCGUCUCUGACGUCGGGGCUCCGGCUGUUUGCCGCCCCCCGGGGAGGCUCCAGGAUGACAAUCAGAGGUGAGCGGCCAACGAAACACACCCUCGUGACUCGCCUUGGGGACCUUCUUCCACUUCCAGGUCAUGUCUGCUCAAUGCCUCCAUUACGAAAAUAUUGGAAAUGGAAAGAAAAAUGCAGAGAGAGACCACUGCAAACUGCCACGUCACCGUGUUUGCUUCAUUCCUUUAAAGGCAUCAAGCAGCCCAGUUGAGUCUUAUGAACUUCCUACCGUAGUUACUCAUCACCACUGGGCACGUGGAAAUAAAAUACUUAAUAAGAUACUUUAUUUUAUGAAGUAAAAUACAAUCUACACUUAUAGAAAACAUAAAUUAAUACAAUGUAAACAAAUGUAUUUGUACAUAUUUAAUACAUUUGUUUAUAUAAAAAUAAAAAUAAAAUACUUAAUUUUGUUAAGUAAAAUAUAAUCUGUAUUUAUAUAAAGUGCAAAUAUUUAUAAAAUGUAAAUGAAUGAAUUUGUACAUAUUUAACACAUUUAUUUAUAUAAAAAUAAAAAUAAAAUACUUAAUUUUAUGAAGUAAAAUAUAAUCUAUAUUUAUUUAAAAUUAAAUAUUUAUAAAAUAUACAAGUAUUGGUAUAUAUUUAAAACGUGUGUAUUUAUAUAAGCAUAAGAAAAUACUCAAUAAAAUGCUUAACAAAAUAAAAA
RNAcentral lists this long non-coding RNA (3410 nucleotides) under Sus scrofa (pig). RNAcentral describes it as "lncRNA (ENSSSCG00065042611.1)". Lineage: Eukaryota; Metazoa; Chordata; Mammalia; Artiodactyla; Suidae. The record is from RNAcentral.